GGGAAAGCUAGAAGAGGAGCAGAGGGAGAUACAGAGAGCAGACAGAUGAACAAACAGGGACUGGGCAGAGCAGAGAAAGGAACUGAUAGAACCAGACACACAUAGCACGUUAUAGGCUAUUUAGAUGGUUAAGUUAGAGUAGCUGGAGACUGCCCAAGCAGAAGGCCUAAGCUUUAGACUUGACUAGAAGCUCUGUGUCAUUAUUUCUAUGACUGGCAGGUCAGAGAAAGUCCCGCUAUAGACUUCCUGUUUGUCCAGAUGACUAUACAAUCAAUGCCUCAGGACUCGCCUUCCUCUGGUCUAUGCCUAAACAAAAUCUACCUCUUCUUAAAGUAUGGUUUGUGUAGGCCCAAUCUAAACAGACAGCAGGAAGACUCAAUGAGAACCUCCCGAGUGGACCACUUUGGUCAUCAACAAGCAACAAAAGACACCCUAAAGCUAACAAGACAAGCACAAACCCUUGGGACAACUGAGCUGGACUCUUAGAGACAUUCACAGGAGGAAAGCCUGGAAAGUGGACAAACCCUCGGGACAACUGAGCUGGACUCUUAGAGACAUUCACAGGAGGCAAAUCAAGAGAACAAGAGGGUACACCACAACAUGUGCUGCAGAGAUAGAAGAGUGGGCUCAUGACAGACUCAGAGGAAAGUGUUUGAAGAUCUCGUUCUACACUAAUAUCUCGGUCUUCCAUUAUGCUGAUUCAUAAUUAUAUAUGUGAAGUAGAAACUUGAAGACUAAGUUUACACAUUGCCUCUUGCUGAAGAUUAAAGUCCACGACAGACCAGCGAGCUCUACCUGGGACUUCCUUGCUGGCUCUCCUCCUCUCUACCACCUGUUUAUUCUGCCAAGACUCCGAAUGAACGGUGAAUACGAAAUCUAACAUUUUCAAGGAAUUUCUCUGUCACCCUUGAAUGGAAAAGUCUUAAGGAACCAGGACACUAAUACAACUUAGGACAGCAGCCAAGGAAAACAAGGCUCAAAAGGAAAUUAGAGAAAAUGCAUUCUUUUCCUUCAGGAGAAGAAGGAGCGGAAGACAGUCACAUAUUCCUGACUAACCUUACACUCACUGUAUAGCUGAGGAUGGCCUUGAACCUCUGACCCAAGGGCUCCAGCUCCUGAGAGCUAGGAUUACAGGCCCUGGGUCCUGGCAGCUGGAACAUUACAAGCAAUGCAUGCAGAUCCUGGCAGAGCACAGGAGCGAGUUUCCUGAAAGCACGCCUGCUCCCUGCAAACAAUUGAGCAGACAGAAGAAUUCCACAAAUAGCACAGCAGAAGUCAGAUGACUGAAUAUAUUAUCAGCCUUCUUUUGGGUCUGUCUACGGUAUCUCAGCAGAGUCAGCCGCUCUACAAGGAGUGCACAACAUUCAUCAAAAGACAUACACAACCUGUGCCCACAGUUCAACAGACAAUAUUCAAUCUAUUUUGAAGAAAUAAGAAACCACAUAUGUAUGUCAACAUAUGUCUUUUCCAAGCUUAUAUCCCUGAAAGUGUUCCCUGGGUACAUUUUCUACUGAUUCCCCAAAAAAAAAGUUUUUGGUACAGAGAACAGACAACAAAAAUAUGCUUUCACAGAAUAAAUGGAUUGAUGUCGUCUUAAGAAAGGCCUACACAAGAGCCUAACGGCCAGCCAAUAGGGACCCCAGCUAAGCAGGCCAGAGGCAAGGGCUGCUUGGGUUCUAAUGUGCUUCAGUAGCCCAACUGUGUGACCCUGGAAGUUAUCUGAUAUCUGUGUGUCCAUUUCCUUCCUGAGCAGCCAGAGGAGGAUGCUACAAGUGCUUCACACACCUAAGUGAGAAGCCCAAGUACACAACAAAUGUCCCUAACCCCAGACACAUUGAGUAAACGCCAUCAGUUUACUUCACUGCUUUCCUGCUUUUGACAUUUAAAGGCAAGGAGAUCUUGAAAUUUCAAGAAUGGUUGAGGUAUGGGCUGUAUAUAUGACUUACAGGAGUUAGCUUCUCUGUCCACAGCUGGGAACAUCUGCAGAACCUCUGCUAUUCAGAUCUGUUCCUUCUUAGAUUUCAGUCUAAGAGCUGAGUGUCCUAAGGACAUUUGCUAUAUCCUAGACUCUUGAUGAGCAGCCAUCCCAGACUACCCCUUAACCUCCAACCUCCUGGACCAUGGGAUAACAAUGUGUAUUUAUGUGUUUGUGGCCAUAAUCAAGAGAAUGGGACACAUAAGAAAAUCUAGAAAGUAGCUGCCACUAUCCCUGAUACAGACACUAUGGUCCUGACGGGAAUAAGCUCCAUCCAGAAGAUCCAUAGCCUGAGCAGAACACAAGGCUGCACACAGAGCUAAAGCCAGGUACAGAGGCCAGGGAAGGAAGGCCACACAAAGCAAUGGCCAUGGAAGAGCGGGUGGGACAGAGAUGGUGGGGUUCCACCUGCCAGCCCACUCUGUCACAUCCUACCAGCUGCACAGGACUACUCUGACCAUGUAGUCAUGUACCGUAUGAUACAGGGCUCAAAGUGCAGCACCUAAGCUUCAAACCAAAUAAAGCCGAACGAAGUCCUAA
This is a long non-coding RNA of Mastomys coucha (southern multimammate mouse), 2515 nucleotides long. RefSeq lists it as uncharacterized. The record is from RefSeq and is a predicted model, not a curated record. The transcript has 5 exons. Lineage: Eukaryota; Metazoa; Chordata; Mammalia; Rodentia; Muridae.